UAUUAGGUUGUUGCAAUAGUAAUUACAGUUCUUUUGCCAUACUUUUAAUUAUUUUGCCAUUACUUUUAAUGACAAAAACUGCACUUACUUUUGCACCAACAUAGUAGUU
This 109-nucleotide microRNA precursor is filed under the name Chlorocebus sabaeus (green monkey). Its description in RNAcentral is "miRNA (ENSCSAG00000023906.1)". The record is from RNAcentral. Lineage: Eukaryota; Metazoa; Chordata; Mammalia; Primates; Cercopithecidae.